AAUACCGGUUUAAACCGAGGGAAA
This 24-nucleotide small nuclear RNA is filed under the name Arabidopsis thaliana (thale cress). RNAcentral's name for it is "snRNA_01099". Lineage: Eukaryota; Viridiplantae; Streptophyta; Magnoliopsida; Brassicales; Brassicaceae. The record is from RNAcentral.